RNAcentral lists this long non-coding RNA (496 nucleotides) under Phascolarctos cinereus (koala). RNAcentral's name for it is "lncRNA (ENSPCIG00000030049.2)". Lineage: Eukaryota; Metazoa; Chordata; Mammalia; Diprotodontia; Phascolarctidae. The record is from RNAcentral.
GCCGAAGUGAAACUGAAAAGCCUGCAGCGGAAUGCAAAAACUUCAGUCUUGAAGCAUUGGUGGUGAAGUCUGAACUCACAGGCAUCACUAUUUCUUAGCAGCUGCUGAGACGCAAGAACACCUGCUGUAUUCUCCCAGCAAACACUGGGGCCAUGGCGCCUCUCCUAUAAUGACACCUCAUCAAUCCGCUCCUAUCAAUGUCCCGGCUAUGGAGGUGACUUGGAGUGCUCAGAAGCCUUAGAAAAUGUCAACGUUUUGGGAGAAAAGAGACACUAUCAUUUCAGAAAGAAUCAUCAAUACAGAGCUGUGGCAUGAUUGAGUAAGAAGAGUGUUGGAUUUGGAGACAGUAGAGCGGAGUUUAAAUGUCAACUCUCCUAUUCACUCUGUGAAGACCAUUGAACUUCUCUGGACCUCAGUUUCUUCAACCAUAAAAUGAAUGGCUACUGAGUUCCCUUUUAUCUGUAAGUAUAUAAUUUAUUCUAAAUUUAGUCUUUCU